RNAcentral lists this ribosomal RNA (460 nucleotides) under uncultured bacterium. Its description in RNAcentral is "partial 16S ribosomal RNA". It matches the Rfam family "Bacterial small subunit ribosomal RNA", at positions 338 to 795 of the family's 1533-position model. The record is from RNAcentral.
CCUACGGGAGGCAGCAGUGAGGAAUAUUGGUCAAUGGCCGGAAGGCUGACCCAGCCAAGCCGCGUGAAGGACGAAGGUGCCAAGCAUUGUAAACUUCUUUUGUCAAGGGACAAAAUCAGGCUCGAGAGCCUGACCGAGGGUACUUGAAGAAAAAGCAUCGGCUAACUCCGUGCCAGCAGCCGCGGUAAUACGGAGGAUGCGAGCGUUAUCCGGAUUUCUUGGGUGUAAAGGGAGAGUAGGUGGAUUGUUAAGUCAGUUGUGAAAGUUUGCGGCUCAACCGUAAAAUUGCAGUUGAAACUGGCAGUCGUGAGUACAGUAGAGGUGGGCGGAAUUCGUGGUGUAGCGGUGAAAUGCUUAGAUAUCACGAAGAACUCCGAGUGCGAAGGCAGUUUACUGGACUGCAACUGACACUGAGGCUCGAAAGUGUGGGUAUCAAACAGGAUUAGAUACCCCGGUAGUC